AGAUUGCGCAAUAGAAUUCUCAUAAAAUUAAAUUUAACUUCCAAGUUGAGAAAAGAGGGCAUAACAAAGAUGAACCAACAAGAGGGAACACAGAAUACUGUUAAGAAGCAUUUCUUAAUCUACAGUAGUGUGACUGUGUAAAGAUGAAAGUGAUAUACCACUUCCAUUGGAACCCAUGUAACAUACACAGAGUAUUCAGCCAAGUUCCAGACUGCAUUUCAGAUCCAAACCUGGGAGGCAUCAGACCCACCUGGAAGGAAACUGUAGGUAGUAUAGGUAGAUUGGAUAGAAACUGCUGAAAAAAGCCCAAAACUCCAGUGGGAACGACAUGGGUGACUAACCAUCCUAAUAUUCUUCUUAUCAAAUAGAAGAGUUCUAUUAGAGGGAAUAUGAGAGUUGAAUCAAAUAUGAUAGGAUCUUCAUUCACCAAAACUAAUCCUUGUAAUUAUUUUAACCACAGAGUAAGAACUAAGAAGAAAUGAAGUAAUAUUAAGUGAACAAAGAUAUUGCAAAGAAGUCAAGAAAGAGAAGAAUUCUAUGUCCUCCAGGAUUGUGGGGAUUUCAGAAAAGAAAAGACCAUUUGUUCCAGCAAGGGCCAUGAGCAGUCUGAAACGCUUCCAUUGCUUGUACUACUAAGAUCUUCAGCCUCUUUGAGACCUGGCUCACACCCUGAUGUCCCUCAGUCAUCACAAUGCAGUCUCACCAGAAACUCACAGUUAUUUUACCCAUGUGCAUUACUACCCAAGA
Molecule: long non-coding RNA, 747 nt
Organism: Mastomys coucha (southern multimammate mouse)
Lineage: Eukaryota; Metazoa; Chordata; Mammalia; Rodentia; Muridae
Exons: 6
Source: RefSeq, a predicted model, not a curated record